Numida meleagris (helmeted guineafowl) is the source of this 677-nucleotide long non-coding RNA. RefSeq lists it as uncharacterized. The transcript has 3 exons. The record is from RefSeq and is a predicted model, not a curated record. Lineage: Eukaryota; Metazoa; Chordata; Aves; Galliformes; Numididae.
CACAGGAGGCUCAGGGGAGACCUCAUCACUCCCCACAGCUCCUGGCAGGAGGUUGGGGUGAAGUGGGUUAGCCUUUGCUCCCAGGGAACAGCAAUAGGACGACAGGACACGUGGCUCUCAGAACUCCAGCAUUUGGCCCCUGGCAGGGCAGAAGACAUGGUGACAUGGCAGCAUGGCAGUGACAUCACAGUGACAUGGCGGCACGGCAGCAGCAGGACAUCCCCUUGGAGCUGGGCAAGCUGAGAGCUCAUUUCCCACCGGCACCGCGCCGUUCCCGUUUGCCUCAGACGUUGCCAGCAGUCUGCCUUGCGUUUCUGGCCACCAUCACCCCUGAAUGGCCCUGUGAGAGCGUCACGAAGCAGCACUCACCUUGAAAUAUACCUCCAGAUCUUGUGAAUGGAGAUCUCUGCAAAUGCUCGUGCAGUUUUAACCUCACUAAUGCACCAACACAGGAGCUCCACGUGGCUCAGAGAGCGAUCUACCGAGAGCCAGGCAGGAAGCUGGACGUUAGGCAGCGCACAGCGAUGAGGGCAGGGCUCCUAAUUCAACAUCGCUUUUCCUAUCUCACUCAUCAGAAAAAAGAGCAGAAGGGACGCACAUUUACAAGACAAAAGGCAAAUAAAACGUGGCGUGUAUCCCCAGCGUGCAGUUCAAAAUCCUGUGGGUUGAAAACAAUC